UGUGGUGCCGAUAGAUUCACUACUGAAGCCCCGUUAUCGGACAUUGCAGGCUUAGCAUCGUAUAUCGCUCCACCACACCGAGAAGAGGUAUGUGUACCUCCAGCAAUAACAAGAAUGGAACCAUAGGCUCCUAUGCUGGGAGCAUUUCGGGGUAUAGGUCUAACCACCUCAACUCCCCGUUUCUGGCAUGCUAUAGUUCUUU
RNAcentral lists this long non-coding RNA (202 nucleotides) under Oryza brachyantha (malo sina). Its description in RNAcentral is "long non-coding RNA (OBRA_LNC003682)". The record is from RNAcentral. Lineage: Eukaryota; Viridiplantae; Streptophyta; Magnoliopsida; Poales; Poaceae.